AGUGAACGCUGGCGGUAGGCCUAACACAUGCAAAUCGAACGGCAGCACAGUAAGAGCUUGCUCUUACGGGUGGCGAGUGGCGGACGGGUGAGGAAUACAUCGGAAUCUACUUUUUCGUGGGGGAUAACGUAGGGAAACUUACGCUAAUACCGCAUACGACCUACGGGUGAAAGCAGGGGAUCUUCGGACCUUGCGCGAUUGAAUGAGCCGAUGUCGGAUUAGCUAGUUGGCGGGGUAAAGGCCCACCAAGGCGACGAUCCGUAGCUGGUCUGAGAGGAUGAUCAGCCACACUGGAACUGAGACACGGUCCAGACUCCUACGGGAGGCAGCAGUGGGGAAUAUUGGACAAUGGGCGCAAGCCUGAUCCAGCCAUACCGCGUGGGUGAAGAAGGCCUUCGGGUUGUAAAGCCCUUUUGUUGGGAAAGAAAAGCAGCAGGUUAAUACCCCGCUGUUCUGACGGUACCCAAAGAAUAAGCACCGGCUAACUUCGUG
RNAcentral lists this ribosomal RNA (492 nucleotides) under uncultured bacterium. RNAcentral's name for it is "partial 16S ribosomal RNA". It matches the Rfam family "Bacterial small subunit ribosomal RNA", at positions 29 to 507 of the family's 1533-position model. The record is from RNAcentral.